AUGUACCAUGACAUCAAGAGUGAUAGGAGGAAGGAUAACCUGGAGAGUUCACUCACUAUUCACCAUUUGACAGAAGAAAAAAAUAAUCUAGAGGCCAACUAUGACAAAUUGGUUGAAGAUGUGCACCAACUGUUCAAUGCUCAAGAGGAUAGGAUGGUAGAUUUCAGCUAUUUGCAGGCUAAGAUGCAGAAUGUGCAGGUUUUUGAGACAGUUGUAUCUGACAUGAAGACAGAGAUGGGGAAGAAAGAUGCAGAGAUCUUCAAGCUGCUGGAGAAGUAUAAAGUACUGAUGAACAUCACAAAAUCUCAAGGCACUGCCAUCCAUAACCUGAAGUUCAAUCAUCUAAAAGAGAAGGAAGUGCUUAGUACAUCCACCAGGAACCUGCAUUUCCAGGUUGAUGAACUCAAAAAAUCUGAGGAAAAGCUCAUCCAGGAGAACACCCAGCUGCUCCUUCACAUGGGUGAUCUCAAGAAGGGGCAUGACAAGCUCACAGCAAGGAGGGAUCGGCUAAAGAUUCAGAUUGCUGAACUGUUGAAGUCAGAGGAGAAGAACAAGCAGAAAUUGAAGGGGAUCCUGGACAUCUUGUCAGAAUGA
This 594-nucleotide ribosomal RNA is filed under the name Triticum aestivum (bread wheat). Its description in RNAcentral is "partial small subunit ribosomal RNA". Lineage: Eukaryota; Viridiplantae; Streptophyta; Magnoliopsida; Poales; Poaceae. The record is from RNAcentral.